Molecule: ribosomal RNA, 635 nt
Filed under: uncultured bacterium
Lineage: Bacteria
Description: bacterial SSU rRNA
Rfam family: Bacterial small subunit ribosomal RNA
Source: RNAcentral
CGAAGCUAACGCGUUAAGUGUUCCGCCUGGGAGUACGGACGCAAGGCUAAAACUCAAAGGAAUUGACGGGGAAACGCACAACCGCGUCCCAUGUGGUUUAAUUCGAAACGAAACGAAGAACCUUACCUAGGUUUGACGUACCGACUCGUACGUCUUGGAAACAAGAUGGUCAGUUCGGCUGGAUCGGUGACAGCUGCUGCAUGGUUGUCGUCAGCUCGUGUCGUGAGCGUCCUUUUAAGUAAGGUAACGAGCGCAACCCCUGUCGUAUGUUAAAUGUUCAUGCGAGACUGCUUUGGUGCAACCAAGGAGGAAGGAGGGGACGACGUCAAAUCAGCAUGGACGCUUACAUCUAGGGCUACACACAUGGGGUAAUGGCGAAUACAACGGGUCGCGAGGGAGUAAUCCGGAGCUAAUCCUUUAAAAUUCGCCUCAGUUCGGAUUGUGGGCUGCAAUUCGCCCACAUGAAGGGGAGUCGGUAGUAAUCGCAGGUCAGCUAUACUGCGGUGAAUACGUUCUCGUUUCUUGUACACACUGCCCGUCAAGUCAACAAAGUCAGCAGUGCCCGAAGUCGGAACCUCCUCGGAGGCCGCCUAAGGCAAGGUUGGCGAUGGGGGCUAAGUCGUAACAAGGUAACC